CUCUUUUAAAAGACUCACCCUGUAUAUUGUGGGAUGUAAAGGUGCAGUCAAGUGCAACAUUCCGACAAAGGAUUAAUGGCCUCCAUGUUGCUGUGACAACUAGUUCGUCGGUUGCUGGUAGGUUUGAAAUAUAACUGCUCAGUUGCAGUCACCUCAGGACCAACUGAGUUGGUAUAGUUUAUUUGCUUGUUAUGUAACCUAAGCCUGCCUUCAUGUACAGCUCUGUAAACCUGAAUAAAUCUGAGAGUAAAAUAGUUUUAUAUUAACAUGAAUCAGAUUUGUUUGUGUAUUCUUUAAGAAGGAUUCAAAGGGAUUUUUAACCAGGAAGGCAUCUUUAUUAGUAGAACUCAGAUGAGUCAGCAACAAGGUGAUCACUGCAUAAACUUAUAAAGGGAAUUGUUUAACUCUGCUAAAGUAAACCUUCCCACAAUGGAUUAUGGGCCCAGAGUUGCGUAAUUUCUUUUUUUACUUCCUGGUUAUCCAGUGGGGAUUAAGCAACCCUCUCCCUUCCCUCAGAGGUUACAGUUACCUAAGGCAGUGAAGAUCUGUUUUAUAUUUUUGAGAUGGCUAGUGUGAUGGCUAGUUGAUAGUGAUCUAGGCCGAGGCCUGCCUGUGCUAAAUGAACAUAAUUUUGUGCACUGGAAGCAACACUUAAUAGCACUUCUAGAUGCAAAAGGAGUCCUGGAUGCUAUAAAAAGCCUACAAACACAGAUGAGGGUGAUUUACCCAAGAUAAGAUUUACCCAAGAUGCCACCCCCUUGCAGUGAGGGAACCGCCAGAAGGCCCUCGGUGCUGGACCUCAGUGUCCGGGCAGAACGAUGGGGGUGGAGACGCUCCUUCAGGGAUACUGGGCCGAGGCCGUUUAGGGCUUUAAAGGUCAGCACCAACACUUUGAAUUGUGCUCGGAAACGUACUGGGAGCCAAUGUAGGUCUUUCAAGACCGGUGUUAUAUGGUCUCGGCAGCUGCUCCCAGUCACCAGUCUGGCUGCCGCAUUCUGGAUUAGUUGUAGUUUCCGGGUCACCUUCAAAGGUAGCCCCACGUAGAGCGCAUUGCAGUAGUCCAAGCAGGAGAUAACCAGAGCAUGCACCACUCUGGCGAGGCAGUCCGCAGGCAGAUAGGGUCUCAGCCUACGUACCAGAUGGAGCUGGUAAACAGCUGCCCUGGACACAGAAUUGACCUGUGCCUCCAUGGACAGUCAUCCAAAAUGACUCCCAGGCUGCGCACCUGGUCCUUCAGGGGCACAGUUACCCCAUUCAGUACCAGGGAAUCCUCCACACCUGCCCGCCUCCUGUCCCCCAAAAACAGUACUUCUGUCUUGUCAGGAUUCAACCUCAAUCUGUUAGCCGCCAUGGCGACAGCUUAGCAAGCAGGCUUCGGAGCUCCGCAGAUAACAGGACUGUAAUUAGCAUUGACUGCCACCCAGGGAAGUAAUUUUUCCUUUUUUACUUCUCUACUUUUAAACUUACCAACCUACUGAGAUUUUAACAGCACCUUCUUGUCUAUGCUAUGAGAAACAUCUUGGGCAAGUUCUGUGAAGCAUCCUGGGCAGGCCGCCAGCUGCUAGGUAUUAACCGCCAACUCCCUUCUAUACUUUGUUCCUGAAAACUCCUGGCAGUCUCCACACAGAGAAGCUCUUAAACUGAACAAACUGAGCACUUUCUAUUUUUUCCUCUCUUUUUUGGUUGGGGGAACCUCUCCUUGUUUACUCCCCACGGUGACGCUAUGCCUGCUAGUAAACGCCACAGGGACCCAGAGGAUGUAGCUCUCUCACCAGUUCCCAAACAAUCUAAAAUAGAGGACUUUUUAAACAAAUCUGCUUUUAUAGUUCCAACAAAAAACCGGUUUUCUCCUCUUGAAGAUGAUUGUGAGUGUGGGGAGAGUAUUCAAGGUGAGAGCAUGGAACUGGAUCCAGCAAUGGGGCAAGUUGAUCCUGUGCCGCUCAGAAAGGAAGGAAUAACAAGUAGGGAGAGCACCCAAUUAACUCUAAUUGCAAGAACGGUUGAGCAUAUCUUCCAACAAAUUAGAGGUAUUGCCUCUCAAAUAACCCAAUUAUCCAAAGAGGUCCACAGUUUAUCAGUUAAUAACAAGCAGGCAUCAACAGAACACCAUAGUACCAAAGGGAAUUGGCGACAAGAAGAGCAGACCCCUAAGCUCAACAUAGAAUGCGCAGAGGCUCUUAAAACAAAUUCUUCUUAUUUAAUCUUCCAACCAAAAAAGAUCUGCAUGACAAUUUGUGGAAGGCCAGAUCAAACUCCCAGCUGGAAAGGUGCCCAGGAUUCCAAACGACAUUUAUCAGGCUUACUUGGCAUUGGACUUACAGAGAUCGAUCUCGUUAGGACUGAACUCUUGAAUACCAUAAAUCAAAGCCAAAAAAUUAUGUUAACUUUUUCCUCUACUAGACUGCCCUCACUGAUUCACAAGCUGAACUUCAGAUUGUCAAGCAGAGGAGUUUUUCCAACCCGGGUAUUUCGCAAUUCUAUUGUUGCACCCUUAUGUAAGAUGAGGACUGGUGCUUCAGAGGGGCCCACAAAACCAACGCCUGGAUCCCCAAUGGAAGUAAUAACAUCACAAAAAAAAACUUGACAGGUGGGGAGGAAAGAGACAUGCCUGAGUUGAAUUCGCAGGAUCAUGCCCAACAUCAAAAUAACCAGGUGAGCCAAAAGGAACAGCCGAUUCCUCUAGAUAAUCAUCUUCAGGAAUCUGAGCACUCUGUAAAUCCUUUGGAAGAGGAUUUUCUCAGCUCAGCUCAGCUCCUUUAGGAAUCUCCCUCAGGAAGAGCAACAGUUAUCAAGAGGCUUGAUCUUAUGAGCCAGACAUUGAAAGAGAUUAAAGAACCGGAGGCAGAGACUGAUAAUAGACCCAAUGGCCACAACAGAAUGAUAACUAUAGAACCACCGGAGUAUUGGACAAAGAUGAGAUAUUUAGAAGAGGAGGAGUCAGGAAAUUCACCCAAGGAAUCCCCAUUGGCAAGCAAUUUGCAAAGAAAAGGCCCAGUGAUUGCAAAUAUGAGUACUUUAUGUACGACGACUGAAUCAAAGGCAAAAAAUCCAUGACCUCAUUGAAAGCAUGCAGAUGCAAGUUGCAAACACAGUUGCUACACCCAUGGCCACUGACUUCUUAAAGAAUCAGGAGAAUUCAAACCCGUUGCCAGACAACAAUGAGUAUCAGUCAAUGAUUGGUAAACUUUUGUAUUUAGUUACCACAUGCAGACCUGAUAUAGCCAAUGCAACAAGCUGAUCACUGCAUAAACUUAUAAAGGGGAUUGUUUAACUCUGCUAAAGUAAACCUUCCCACAUAUAUUCACAUAUUGUAUUAUGUUUCUUCUCUUUCUUUUUUUCACUUUAUUUUGUACAACUGAAAAACUGGGUAUCAGAUACUGAUCUUAAACAAUAUACAUGUAUAAUACAUAUGAACCUGGAAGUCCAUGGAUGUCAGGGAACUGCCAUCAAGAGAGGGGAGGGAGGCAGGAACGUACAGACAGCCUCCCCCCUUGCUGAGCAGCAGCACUUCGUCAAAGACUGGUGAAGGCGACACCUCAGGAGGAAUGGAAGAAGAGACAAGGGGGGGUGGAACAAAGGCUCACAGAGGCUUCUGUGAGCCACAGCACCUAUCCCAGGCAAGAAAGGGAGAGUGACGUGCAGCUUCCAUUGCAUAGUUUUCACAAGGGAAUUAAGCGUAAGGAAAAGAGGAGGAGAGUGGGGGUGCCCCGGUUUUUAUUCUGGAGGGGAAACCGGAAGAACCCACUCUCGGAAUCUGCUAGCGAUUGAGGCAGACAUGCACUUUGGACUUCUGCACUGUACAUAGUUUUGCACACAAUAAAACCUGUAAAAGGCAGGUCAGAGUCCUGGGCUGUUUACUUCGUGAGCAACCAUACGCAUUCCUGACAAUAGUGAAAAAAAUUAUAGUGGCUUCAUAAAAAUAAAUUAUUUCCAUUCCAGCAUGGUUCUAAUCCAAGGGCAAGCAGUUCCCUUACGCUGGGUUUGGGGUGUUCAUUUCUAACCCUCUAAGUUUCUCUUCCC
Molecule: long non-coding RNA, 4020 nt
Filed under: Podarcis lilfordi (Lilford's wall lizard)
Lineage: Eukaryota; Metazoa; Chordata; Lepidosauria; Squamata; Lacertidae
Source: RNAcentral